Molecule: long non-coding RNA, 501 nt
Organism: Entelurus aequoreus (snake pipefish)
Lineage: Eukaryota; Metazoa; Chordata; Actinopteri; Syngnathiformes; Syngnathidae
Exons: 3
Source: RefSeq, a predicted model, not a curated record
AUCGCGACUGUAUAUAUACAGGAUUUUUCCUGCGUUCAAAAUUGCGUGGCGGCCGCCUCCAGCUAAUUUUGUGCUGCCCCCAGCCAGAACGAUUGAUAUCGCUCAACACAGCGUAAAGCUCUGGCUUUGUUGAUUGAGCGAUUGAUAGCAGCUACGUACAGUAUUUUAACUGCAGUUGCAGCAUUGCGCUACUGUGGAGGCGCUAUAUCGACAUCAGUCCACCAGAAAGACCUGAAGCAACUACCAAAGAAGAAACAGAUCGAAUCGUGUUUUUUCCCGCUACUUUGUGCAUAAGUGACAAGUGGAUUUCUGCCAUACGGAGCAUGAUACAGAGGGAUCGCUGGACUGCUACAGAACACUCCAGACUGUGCUGUGAACAUUUUGUCUCUGCGUUGCAGAUAUGGCAGGCAAAAUCAGCCACUACUUUAAAAAGUGAUCUCGCGAGGAGGAAAGUCAAGAGUCCAGGUCUGAAAGUAGUUCACAAGGGACUGGUGAUAGCGA